This 336-nucleotide unclassified non-coding RNA is filed under the name soil metagenome. RNAcentral describes it as "partial contains 5.8S ribosomal RNA, internal transcribed spacer 2, and large subunit ribosomal RNA". The stretch from base 1 to 120 matches the Rfam family "5.8S ribosomal RNA", at positions 35 to 154 of the family's 154-position model. The record is from RNAcentral.
GAUGAAGAACGUAGCGAACUGCGAUAAGUAAUGUGAAUUGCAGAAUUCAGUGAAUCAUCGAAUCUUUGAACGCACAUUGCGCCCCUUGGUAUUCCAUGGGGCAUGCCUGUUCGAGCGUCAUUUGUACCUUCAAGCUUUGCUUGGUGUUGGGUGUUUGUCUCGCCUUUGCGUGUAGACUCGCCUUAAAAUAAUUGGCAGCCGGCGUAUUGAUUUCGGAGCGCAGUACAUCUCGCGCUUUGCACUCAUAACGACAGCGUCCAAAAGUACAUUUUACACUCUUGACCUCGGAUCAGGUAGGGAUACCCGCUGAACUUAAGCAUAUCAAUAAGCGGAGGA